CUCAUCUGGCUUCUUCGAUUGAGGAGUGGGUACAGCUUGGCAGUUGUUACCUUAACCUUGUCGAUGGCUGUUUUUAUGUGCUUCUUCCAGGUCAGCUGCAUACUGAUUGGAGUUUUCAUUAGUUACAGAUAUCUUGAUUACAUUUUUUGCGUCCGAAGCGAUACAAAGCUUGCAUUUAAAGUGCAUCAGCUUUAUGUAUAGUUUACGUUUAACUGAUCAAAGUUAAAAAGCUUGGUUGAUGAAGAAGGUUCUGGUAAUCUCAAAAAAUGGUUGGGGUUUCUUCUUCUGGUGCUAUUGGCGUCCCUGGCAACGCAACAGGUAGCCCAGAAGUAGGGUUAAGUUUUUGUUGUGUUUGUAAACUGAUUUUUAAUAAUACAGUGCUCUAAGCUGUUUAUACUCAUCUCUUGUUGUGUCACACUUUGUGAUCUGUUUGGAGAUGGAUGAGUGCGGCAAUUUAGGCAAGAAACAAUGCGGGUUACAGUAA
Long non-coding RNA from Dendroctonus ponderosae (mountain pine beetle), 484 nucleotides. RefSeq lists it as uncharacterized. The transcript has 2 exons. NCBI's taxonomy places the organism in Eukaryota, Metazoa, Arthropoda, Insecta, Coleoptera, Curculionidae. The record is from RefSeq and is a predicted model, not a curated record.